RNAcentral lists this ribosomal RNA (475 nucleotides) under uncultured organism. RNAcentral describes it as "partial 16S ribosomal RNA". It matches the Rfam family "Bacterial small subunit ribosomal RNA", at positions 331 to 797 of the family's 1533-position model. The record is from RNAcentral.
GUACACUCCUGCGGGAGGCAGCAGUGGGGAAUUUUGGACAAUGGGCGAAAGCCUGAUCCAGCCAUGCCGUGUGCAGGAUGAAGGCCUUCGGGUUGUAAACUGCUUUUGUACGGAACGAAACGGCCUUUUCUAAUAAAGAGGGCUAAUGACGGUACCGUAAGAAUAAGCACCGGCUAACUACGUGCCAGCAGCCGCGGUAAUACGUAGGGUGCAAGCGUUAAUCGGAAUUACUGGGCGUAAAGCGUGCGCAGGCGGUUAUGUAAGACAGUUGUGAAAUCCCCGGGCUCAACCUGGGAACUGCAUCUGUGACUGCAUAGCUAGAGUACGGUAGAGGGGGAUGGAAUUCCGCGUGUAGCAGUGAAAUGCGUAGAUAUGCGGAGGAACACCGAUGGCGAAGGCAAUCCCCUGGACCUGUACUGACGCUCAUGCACGAAAGCGUGGGGAGCAAACAGGAUUAGAUACCCCUGUAGUCCCA